Molecule: ribosomal RNA, 253 nt
Filed under: uncultured bacterium
Lineage: Bacteria
Description: partial 16S ribosomal RNA
Rfam family: Bacterial small subunit ribosomal RNA
Source: RNAcentral
UACGAAGGGGGCUAGCGUUGCUCGGAAUCACUGGGCGUAAAGGGUGCGUAGGCGGGUCUUUAAGUCAGGGGUGAAAUCCUGGAGCUCAACUCCAGAACUGCCUUUGAUACUGAAGAUCUUGUGUCCGGGAGAGGUGAGUGGAACUGCGAGUGUAGAGGUGAAAUUCGUAGAUAUUCGCAAGAACACCAGUGGCGAAGGCGGCUCACUGGCCCGGUACUGACGCUGAGGCACGAAAGCGUGGGGAGCAAACAGG